This 2226-nucleotide long non-coding RNA is filed under the name Gallus gallus (chicken). The record is from RNAcentral. Lineage: Eukaryota; Metazoa; Chordata; Aves; Galliformes; Phasianidae.
CCUCUGUCUCGAUCAGCAGGAUUCCAGUCAAAGUCAUCACUAGUGUCUUGUUUCCAGUCACAGACUCCUCGACUGAAACUGCAGUCAACUUCAUGCUCUUGUCUUGUCACCGAAACUUUUCUUUGUGCCAGGAGAGGGCCAAAGGCAGCUGCUUCUUUACCCUGGGGAAAGAAGACAUCUCCUCUAAGGCUUUGCUCAUGGUCAACCUGAUUCUCAUAAUCUUCCUUCUCUUCCUCAUCUGUCUCAUCGACUUCCUCUUCUAUAGUAACUUCAGUUUUUUUCUCUCCCACAGUGUAACUCCCACCAAGAUCAAAACCGCCUUCAUAGUCCAGUGACUGCAAGCGGGUCUUAGAAGCCGGCGUCAUGGCUGCUUCUGGUAUCACAUUCUUGAUUGCUUUAUGCUUUGUCACGCUGUUUUUAUGUGCAAGGAGUUUCUUAAUUGUGUCCUUAGCUGUUCCAGGGAUUCUUGGAAUUUCCUUCACUGAUUUUUCUGGAAUAGCUAGAAACCAGAAGAAAAUAGUAAAUAUUCACCUAAUGAAUCAUUCAGCAAACACAUUUAUAAAUGGCACCACACUGUCCUUGAUAAUACCCAGAGACUCAUACAGCUAAAUUCUCUACCAUGAGAUUUAAGUUCAUCUCUGUACUGUACUAUGUAUGCAUUUGCCUCCGUUGUACAGACAGCUCUCUGAUUUAGAAUUGUAGAAGCACAAAAUGGUAUGGGUUGGAAAAGAGCUUUAAAGAUCAUUCAGUUCCAGUUCCCCUGAUCCACUACACUGAGUAGCUCAUAGCCUCAUCCAACCUGGCAUUGAGCACCUCCAGGGAUGGGGCAUCCACAGCUUCCCUGGGCAGCUGUGCCAGCGCCUCACUGCUCUCAUAGUAAAGAAUUUACCAUGAGUUAUAGUGAAAACACGAAAGUGACCCUCUCUUACAACCUCACUUGGCUCUUAUGUAACACAGUCCACGCAGCUCCUUAUAUUCAACAUUUAUAUACAAAAGCUUGGAGGAAAAAAAUAACUCAUCAUUUUGUGGGCUACUGAAAAUUGUCCACAGACAUGAUUCCCUACAAAACAAAUGCCAGCCUACUAGCAGUGAGAAUUUUUCUUAGAUAUCUUUUGUGAACUCCUCUGCCCUAACAUCCCUUUCACUACAGGCUGAAAAACACUGAAAUAAAGCAUAUUUUGAGGGAAGAUAUAUCAAGCUGAUACAUCAUAUUUCAUUUAUUUCAAAAGGAUAAAGCAUUGAAACUUCAGAGAGGCACUCAAGAAUUCUGAAUUAUUAUCUUGAAAUUGUAAGUUGGUCUAGAACAUAAAUACACAAUUUCCUAAGAUUUUUACUAUUUUAUGAUUCCUCUUGACUGACAAAUACUAAAAAGAUAUUCAGCCUUGUGAUAUCUUGCAAAUUCUGAUCCUGCUCAGAAACACAUAGGUCAGAACUGAAAAACUUAGAGUGGAGUAAAAGUCUACCAAGAUUGUUCAAAUCUGUAAAAUAAAAGACAUAAAUCUGAAUGUGUGGGUUUUCCCCAUUUUUGUUCCAUAAUAGAGUAUAAUGAAGUCAAAUAUCCUCUAUAUCCAGACAGAAAACUUCAAAACUAGCGAUAAGAGGAUAUUUUUCUAUUUACUUUGCAGCCAUGAUUUGUGCAUUAUGUUUCUCUUCUCAAUAUACUGUGUCUCAAGACAAAAGCCUUUUGUUUCUUUACAAAUUCAGUUAUUCUCUCUACGACCAUCAAACUAUGUUGGGAUGCUUGAAUGAGAGACUAUUUUUAAUAGAAACCCAUUUGAAGAUACAAUUCCAUCGAUGCAGAGAGCCAGAAUUGAUUUUCCAGCAGUGAUGAAACCCAGAAGCCAUACAAAGGGCUCCUUUUGGGUGGUCCUGUGUGGAGCCAGGAGAUGAACUCAGUGAUCACUGUGGGUUCCUUCCAGUUUGGGAUAUUCUGUGAUUCACUGACACCUUUUUUUCCAUAUGUUUCUUUUCACAUAAGCAAAAAGGAACAGCAGAAAAAACACCACUUAGUGAAACAAAGCUGUAGUCAAGUAGGAAAAGAGAAAAAAUCCCAGAAUUUAUAUUAAUUCCUGGAUAACAUAACCCUAAUCAAAGUGAAUUGGUCAGAUUUUAUUUAAAGCAAAUGCAGCUACUUUUUCUACUUAUUAUGCCAGUACAAUUAGACUCUUGGUUAAUUCACUGGAGCGUUCAGAUUUUCUGAGAUUCUCUGAGAUUGCAGUUGGAGGC